RNAcentral lists this unclassified non-coding RNA (486 nucleotides) under uncultured Glomus. RNAcentral's name for it is "SSU rRNA". It matches the Rfam family "Eukaryotic small subunit ribosomal RNA", at positions 569 to 1064 of the family's 1831-position model. The record is from RNAcentral. Lineage: Eukaryota; Fungi; Glomeromycota; Glomeromycetes; Glomerales; Glomeraceae.
AGCAGCCGCGGUAAUUCCAGCUCCAAUAGCGUAUAUUAAAGUUGUUGCAGUUAAAAGCUCGUAGCUGAAUUUCGGGAUCAAUAUGCUGGUCGUGCCAUUGGUACGUACUAGUAUUAUUGGUUUCUCCUUUCUGAUGAAUCAUGAUGUCAUUAAUUUGAUGUCAUGAGGAAUCAGGACUGUUACUUUGAAAAAUUGAGUGUUUAAAGCAGGCUCGCGCUUGAAUACAUUAGCAUGGAAUAAUGAAAUAGGAUGUUUGAUUCUAUUUUGUUGGUUUCUAGGAUUGACGUAAUGAUUAAUAGGGAUAGUUGGGGGCAUUAGUAUUCAAUUGUCAGAGGUGAAAUUCUUGGAUUUAUUGAAGACUAACUACUGCGAAAGCAUUUGCCAAGGAUGUUUCAUUAAUCAAGAACGAAAGUUAGGGAUCGAAGACGAUCAGAUACCGUCGUAGUCUUAACCAUAAACUAUGCCGACUAGGGAUCGGAUGAGUUU